AACGAAUUAGACAUAAAAUACCAAAUUUUGAAAUGUCCAGAGAUCGCACUAGUUUUAUUAAAAAUCAGUGAACUCUAGGGAAUUAAAGUUUAGACUAAAAUAUAGUCGCGUUGUAACUGCGGGUUUAUUUAGUAAACUGUGAAUUGUGCUAAAUGGACAAUCUAAACACAAAUUUAUGCUGAAAUAGCCAGCAUGUAAAAUCUGUGGAAAUUGAGAAUUUUGAACUUCUGCAAUCCAGUUUUCAAUUCAUUACAACAGGCCCUUGUAUCGGAGUCAGGGAUUUUUUUAAGAACAGCUAUUUUAGCCUUAAAUAUCUCAAUUCAUGGUCUAGUAAUAAAGUCUAAACUAUAGUCCUCUAGACCAGGCUUUCCCAAACUCUGGCCCUCCAGAUGUUUC
Molecule: non-coding RNA, 396 nt
Organism: Pelobates cultripes (western spadefoot toad)
Lineage: Eukaryota; Metazoa; Chordata; Amphibia; Anura; Pelobatidae
Source: the annotation of a GenBank genome assembly